UAGAGUUUGAUCCUGGCUCAGGACGAAUGCUGGCGGCGUGCUUAACACAUGCAAGUCGAACGGUGAACCGGAGCUUGCUCCGGGGAUCAGUGGCGAACGGGUGAGUAACACGUGGGCAACCUGCCCCUCGCUCUGGGAUAACUUCGGGAAACCGGGAUUAAUACCGGAUAUGACCAUCUUAGGCAUCUUUGGUGGUGGAAAGUUUUUCGGUCAGGGAUGUGCUCGCGGCCUAUCAGCUUGUUGGUGGGGUAAUGGCCUACCAAGGCUUCGACGGGUAGCCGGCCUGAGAGGGUGACCGGCCACACUGGGACUGAGACACGGCCCAGACUCCUACGGGAGGCAGCAGUGGGGAAUAUUGGACAAUGGGCGGAAGCCUGAUCCAGCAACGCCGCGUGAGGGAUGACGGCCUUCGGGUUGUAAACCUCUUUCAGCGCCGACGAAGCGAGAGUGACGGUAGGCGCAGAAGAAGCACCGGCCAACUACGUGCCAGCAGCCGCGGUAAU
Molecule: ribosomal RNA, 503 nt
Filed under: uncultured bacterium
Lineage: Bacteria
Description: bacterial SSU rRNA
Rfam family: Bacterial small subunit ribosomal RNA
Source: RNAcentral